This is a long non-coding RNA of Ornithorhynchus anatinus (platypus), 883 nucleotides long. RefSeq lists it as uncharacterized. The record is from RefSeq and is a predicted model, not a curated record. The transcript is spliced from 4 exons. NCBI's taxonomy places the organism in Eukaryota, Metazoa, Chordata, Mammalia, Monotremata, Ornithorhynchidae.
GGGGAAGGCGGAAGGUCAAAAAGGUAACUGUACAGUACCAGGCUGGCAGCCAAGACACAGCAGGCCCCAAUCUGCAGCUGCAGUGGCCUCUCAGAAAUUGAAGAGAGGUGGUAUGGGAGCCAUGGUAUUGAAGCCAUAUUUUUACUGGACCACAAAUGUGUCUAGUUAUUUUUACUUGUGACUUGACUCUGUUAUGUUUUAUAGGUGAUUCUCACUGAUCAAUCAGUGGGCUGAUCAAUCAGCAAGAGUAGUGACAGAGGGAUGAGCUAAUGCAGAAAGUGCUAAGUGGGAGGAGGAGGCAAAAAGAAAAGAAAAAGAUCUGUCAGUGUGUUCUGAUCAGCCUCAGCAGGAUGAUGUAGACCUCGGGCCCAAAGAUACAGCCCAGAAGCCCGGCACUGGCAACUACCACCAUGGCCUUGCCCAUGGUGCUCAGGCCAAGACCACAGUGAAAAGACCAAAGUGAUGGUCUUUGCCAACACAGAGGAAAUAGCUACAGAAAAGAGUGAAGUAUGGACUGGAGUGCGAAGAGUGCCCUGAAGAUGAGGAAAGAGAGUGAUGAAGAUGGAGCUAUAACCAAGUUCUCCUAACUCUUGGGACCGUGGUAUUUCCAGUAGGCCAUGCCAAAUGCUGACAAAAUUGGUUAUGAACCAGAGUUCCCAUCUUCUCAUUCACAGUCCACAGUAUGCCCUUAUAGCUAGAUCUGAAUAUGGAAAGCUUCAGUGGGAGAGGAAAAGUUUUCCAGGGAUAGGCAGAAAUUACAUAAGUUCAUGUUGCGGGUCAAUUCUUAAAACAAUUAUAGGAGGCAGAAUGUACAGUAAGUAACUUCCAUAUGACUUUUAAUUCUGGGGAAUGAUUUGAUAACAAUGGAAAAACUAAAAAUAGU